AGUGAACGCUGGCGGUAGGCCUAACACAUGCAAGUCGAACGGCAGCACAGGAGAGCUUGCUCUCUGGGUGGCGAGUGGCGGACGGGUGAGGAAUACAUCGGAAUCUACUUUUUCGUGGGGGAUAACGUAGGGAAACUUACGCUAAUACCGCAUACGACCUACGGGUGAAAGCAGGGGACCUUCGGGCCUUGCGCGAUUGAAUGAGCCGAUGUCGGAUUAGCUAGUUGGCGGGGUAAAGGCCCACCAAGGCGACGAUCCGUAGCUGGUCUGAGAGGAUAAUCAGCCACACUGGAACUGGGACACGGUCCAGACUCCUACGGGAGGCAGCAGUGGGGAAUAUUGGACAAUGGGCGCAAGCCUGAUCCAGCCAUACCGCGUGGGUGAAGAAGGCCUUCGGGUUGUAAAGCCCUUUUGUUGGGAAAGAAAUCCAGCUGGCUAAUACCCGGUUGGGAUGACGGUACCCAAAGAAUAAGCACCGGCUAACUUCGUGCCAGCCGCCGCGGUAA
Molecule: ribosomal RNA, 506 nt
Filed under: uncultured bacterium
Lineage: Bacteria
Description: partial 16S ribosomal RNA
Rfam family: Bacterial small subunit ribosomal RNA
Source: RNAcentral